UUUUCUCCUGCCCUCAGCCAACCCGGUAACUGAGCCUCUCCCCUGGCAUGGCCACGCCGGGGAGUGAUUUCUGGCUUCCUGGCCAGAUUCUGCCUGGAGACAGAUAGCUGGGUUUGUGAGCAUGGCCCAGUGCAGCUGCAGCAUGGGUGUGGACACCGCCCUGUUCUCAAGUCCCAGCCACUAAAUCCUUCCUUUAGGAUUCCCGAGAGGGAGUGUGGUCUAAUGGUUAGUACCCAGGCCUGGGAUUCUAUUCCCAGCUCUGCCACUGACCUGCUGGAUAACCUUGGGCAGGUCACAUCACUGCUCUGUGCCUUGGUUUUCCCCAUCGCAUGGGGCUGCUCAUCUCUGCCCGCCUCUCAGGGGUGGUGAAUCUGGAGUGCUCUGGAGGGAAGGGGACAGAGAUGGCCAAAGCAUCUUUCUGUGGGGGCUCCCCGUGUCAUUUCAGGGGGGCCGACGGGAGUUUGACGGGCUGCCUGAGAGGCCAAGCGGGGAGUUCACAUGCCCCAAGCUCAACAAUAUGAGGCACAGUGUCUAUGCGAUGGAGAACAUGGCCACUGCAACCUCUCCAAGGGGACCCUCCGAGCCUGGCUAGCUCAGGGAGCUACCAGGGGGACCGGAAGCUUCUCAGGCAAAGCAGUAGCAGCACUAGAAGGAACGUUUCUCUAGGUUAGCAGCAGACCCCCAGCCCCUCAAGAGGAUGACGUGUCCUCGCUGGCGUACGGCCGACGGCACCACUCCCUGCGUGGUGCUGAAGACGUCAAAGGGCUGCUCCAUGCUACAGCAGCAGCUGAGGCAGGGGACCCAGUUACAGUGCCGAUGGGCUCUUAGCUGUGGCCUGUCUGUCCCUGGACACGGCCAAGGCUUUAGUCUGGCUAGGGAAUACAGCUGAGGUCCUAGCUAGGGUACAGCAUGGAACUGCCUUGCACCCAGGUCAGGGGACAAGCACGUUGUAACAGGCUAUAAUUGAUGCCUGAGCAGGGUCUUAGUCCCAUGGCCAUUUGUGAGAGCAAGAGGGACUUGUUAAAUGCUCACUAAGAACGUUGCUAAAGAGCUAUUGUUGAUAUAACAAUGGGACUUCAUGACCUCGGAAGCCAAGGUUCCAUAGUAGCUGGGGGAGGGAAUCGUCGUUUCUGGUGGGCUUCAGCCCCCUAUCAGGCCAUCCCAGCAGAUCCUUCCAAAAAUGUGUUGUUUUUCCCCCAGCUGUUAGAAUGUACCAAAGGAGAAGAAUGUUUGUAACUACCCACUGGAAGGCUCUGGGUGAGCCCCAAGGAUAGGUCCCCCGGGCUGGGAGGCUUUGGCAAGGCAACGAAUCCCACCCGAAGCAGAGACCCCACCUCCCCAGUGGACCCUGGCCCCCAACUGCACCCUGCAGCGGCCUCUCAGCGACUCCUCCGCCCUUCUGCGCCAUCUCGGACCUGUCAGGUGGUGCCACCAUCUUCCAUCGUCCCUCUGCUACCGAACCCAAGACGCAACACAUCCCCUUCCCCCAAUGGGCCUGGAGACUCCUGUUGGCAGCUUUUCUGAGGCAUUCCUGGCUCCCUCGACGGCUCACUGGCCAUCCAGCUCUAGGCAGGCAGGGGACUAAGGGGCCCUUUUCCCAAGCAGGCAUCCAGAGCCCACAUUUGGCCACUCACACCAGCUCAGAGGCCUGGGCAGGCACCUCCAGCAGAGAGGUUGGGAUGGACCUCAAUCAGAGCAAGUUCCUUGACUGUAGAAUAGACAACAGGACAGAGCAGCAUUCAGAAUGGGGGACACAGAUCCCCAUAUGCCAGGGCCCGGCUGAUGGAAACGCCACCCUGCACCCUGUGACCACCUUUUGUCCAUCAUUAACAUCUUCUUUACAUGCUUCCAUUCAGCUUUGGCUUUUCCAGUGGGUGAUUCCUCCCCUGGAGAUGCCAGGGAGCAGAGGGUGGUCGCCACCUUGCCGAGCUGGGCCUGUCGGUCUGAGAACUGUGAUCCCAAAGUAACUGGGGAUUGGUGCCUGGUUCUGCUGAACCACAUCAAUUUCUAGAGCGCCCAUCAACCAGCACAACAGAGCUCAGGAAGCUGGACGGCAGAAGCUUCGGCGUAUGUAGCUGUGGUGAAACUUACGCUGGAGUGAGGAAACUCCUGCGCUCUUCGCAUUUUUAUGGCUGGGGACAAUUUUUAAUUUUUGCUUUUCUAUUUAUGUUUGCUGUUGAGGGCAGUCCAGCUCCCUGCUGCCUGGGAGAAGGUCCCUCUCCUGGGCCUGUCUGCGUUCAUUUUCGCUUCCAUGGCCCUUUGUUACCAUCUCUCUCCCCUGCCCAUCUGAACAGCAGCCACUGGAUCAGCAGCCACAGACCUCUGCCCCGUGUCAGAGCACAGUAACAAAGACCAGCCUCUUCCCAGCACUCCUGUCUCAUACUACCACCGUCCAAUAUCCAGAGACUCUAGCCAUCGAUUGUACUUAUAUGGCCCUGUUACCACAGUAACAGAGCACUCCACAAUAUUUCAUGUUUUUAUCUUCACAACACCUGUCUGAGGCAGGGCAGUGCUGUUAUCCCCAGUUUACAGAUGGGGAAACCGAGGCACCGAGCGACUAAGUGACUUGCCCAAGGUCACACAAGAAGUCCGUAGGAGAGCAAGGAAUUUCUCAUAUGUGUCCUGAGUCCCAGGCUAGCUCCCAUCCUGCUGAGCCACCCUUUCUCUCCUCUUAUAAAGUUUUGCCCCCUGGAGACAGAAGAAUCGGUUCUCCCCUCACACCACUUUUACUCCAGUUUACCUCUGACUAUACUGGAGUUACUCUUGAAUUGCACCAGUGUACGAGAGGAGAAUUGUGUCCAGCACGUAUAGGCGGGAGCCUACCCAGCUCUGCUCCUGCCCCUGUUUGAUAUGAAAGUCAUUCUGGGCAUUCACAUUCUUACUCACAAUUGCACAGAUGUGCUGAUGACAUUCGUAGAAGUGGAUUCAUUUUUAAUAUGGUUUUAAAUGGCAGGGUAGGUGGCAGUUUAAACGAUUGGGGUUCUGUGGUGUGAAGGUUUGAGAAAGGGAAAAUGCUCCCAAGUUUCCACUGUACAAGUGAUACAAAAAUAGCAUUGUGCCACCCCCAGGACACAUCAUAUGGACACACACAGGACACACCACACUGAGCGACACGGCACACAAGUGUCUAGAGGAUGAUCCAUCACACACAGACACACGCAUCAAUAUGACGUCCCAUCGCACACACAGUGCCCUAUACCAGUGCACACGCAUAAGAGUGCAUCAGGCAUUGAAAAGAGAAGCGAGUUGGCCGAGGCUCUAUGACUGGAUGUCAAGGCCUGAUUCUCCCUUGCCUUGCUCCUUGCGUGGUCAUUGACAGCUGCUGAAAGCCUGGAUAAAACACUGAUUUGCAGAGUUCAAGGGACUCGCCCUCCCAUAUCCCAGCCCCAGAUUUGCAAGUGCAGUCAGCUGUCCUAAUGCGUCAUUUGUGUGCUUGUCACUGAACGGUCUCACAGGGUUGUCCUGGUAAAUCUCUGAAUUUCUACGAGUUUGUACAUUUUAAUCAUUUCUUCUAGAUCUGGUCAAUUCUAGGCACUACCAAUGGCACUUGUGUUUGCAGAGAUUAUUUCAACAGCAAGGCCAAACUCAUUUCUU
Molecule: RNA transcript, 3594 nt
Organism: Mauremys mutica (yellowpond turtle)
Lineage: Eukaryota; Metazoa; Chordata; Testudines; Geoemydidae
Exons: 3
Source: RefSeq, a predicted model, not a curated record